CGCUGCAAAGGGCCAGCCUCGGGACAGAAGAGCUCAUUAGUGAAAACAAUCACAACUCUUGAAAGUGAGAGAGGAAAAAAAAAAAACCUCUGCGUUUACUUUAAGUAAAUUCUGACAAUGAGCCAACGAGGACACAAUCAGCUAUGAAAUCACGGAGAAAUUACUGCCUCUCAAGGUCUUAUAUUUUAUUCGGUAAAAUAGAUUGGGGUAGGGUGUUCCCUCCCCCUUCCCUUUCCCUUCCUUCCUCCUGGAAACUUUUGAGUGCCUCCUUUGUGCCAGGCACUGGACUGAGAAAAGAAAGUUGGGAAAAAAGAACCUGAAGUCUCUACGCUUAAGUGCCUUAGUGGGAGGCGGGGGCGGGCGGGACAAAGAGGGUGGAAACCGACAAUUUCAGUGUGUGAUGAAAUUGCUGUGAUAGAAUCUAUGCCCAGAGGGUUAGUGGAACUCAGAGGCAGGUUCUGAAUCAUGCUGGAUAUCCAGGAAGGCUUCCUAGAGGAGGCUGCGUUGGAGUUUUGAAGACAAAGCAGGCAUCAUGUAGAAUGAAGAGAGGCAGGAGGAAGAGCUGAACUUCUGCAGGGCUGCCCAAAGCAGGGAGAGGUGCAAAGUGCAAAAUGACUGGGUCACGUUGCUGUACAGCAGAAAUUGACACAACAUUGUAAAUCAACUAUACUUUUAGACAAAGGAAGUGACACAGGAAACCAGACUCUAGAAAAGCCAUUUUCUGUGAGGUGGUAGAGUCUGGUGGGAAGGUAUGGAGGCUCAAAGCCAGCAGGAGGAAGGUCCAAGGUGAUGUGCCGGAGGACCGAAUGAAACUCCCCUACAAAUGGAAGAUGAUUCUUCUUUGCAGAGAGGUCACAGUUUGAGAACCAUGGAAGCUGGUCAGGAGCGCCCCCUGAGGCCAGAUGAAAGGAAUGCAGGCCCUGCACAAGUCCGGAGCCUCAUCACAACCCCUCCCAAGAACCAUUACUGUAAAAUUCCUCAUCAACUCCUUUUGAAGGCCAGAGUCCCCAGUGGCCCCCUUUGCCUGGCAAAGCAAUAAAGCUAGGGAGUUCCUGCUUCUGUGCAGUGGCUAAGGAUCCGGCAUUGCCGAGGUUCACAGCUGAGGUUCAGAUUCAGUCCCUGGCCUGGGAACUGUCAUAUGCCACAGAUGCAGCCCUCUCACCAAAAAAAAAAAAAAAAAAAAAGGCAAUAAAGCUAUUCUUCUCUCCUUCACCCAAAACUACCUCUACGAUUCAAUUGGACGUCAGAACGGUCCUUUAUAAAUGUUUUUUAAAAUUAAUCUUUUAUUGUUUAAUUUUUUUUUUUUUUUUUGCCACACUUGCGGCAUGUGGAAAUUCCCAGGCCAGGGAUUGAACCUGUGCUACAGUGGUGACCCAAGCCACUGCAGUAACAGUGUCAGAUUCUUAAUCUGCUGAGCCACACAGGAACUCCUAAUUUUUAUAUUCUGGAAACAAGUCCCUUAUUGGAAUUUGAUUUGAGAAUAUUUUCUCAUUCUGUAUGUUGUUCUUUCACUUUCAUGACUUUUUUUUUUGUCUUUAGAGGGCUGCACCUGUGGCAUAUGGAGGUUCCCAGGUUAGGAGUCUAAUUGGAGCUGUUGCUGCUGGCCUAUGACAGAGUCGCAGCCAACGCCAGAACUGAGCCACGUCUGUGACCUACACCACAGCUCACUACAACACCAGAUCCUUAACCCAUUGAGUAAGGCCAGGGACUGAACCUGCAACCUCAUGGUUCCUAGUCGGAUUCAUUUCCACUGAACCACAGCGGGAACUCCUCAUGAUGAUUUUUAAUAUUCUUUAAUAAAUUCCUUUUCUACUCUA
RNAcentral lists this long non-coding RNA (1817 nucleotides) under Sus scrofa (pig). Its description in RNAcentral is "lncRNA (ENSSSCG00005001095.1)". Lineage: Eukaryota; Metazoa; Chordata; Mammalia; Artiodactyla; Suidae. The record is from RNAcentral.